Oxyura jamaicensis (ruddy duck) is the source of this 2327-nucleotide long non-coding RNA. RefSeq lists it as uncharacterized. Lineage: Eukaryota; Metazoa; Chordata; Aves; Anseriformes; Anatidae. The transcript is spliced from 2 exons. The record is from RefSeq and is a predicted model, not a curated record.
UCUCUGUGCUGCUGUUGCUGAGGAUCUUCACAACAUGAAGUGGAGUGACUGCUGGCUUCCACAUCUCCUGCAGCAGAGCCCCGUGACUCUCCCAGGCUCAGGUUUCCUGUGGUCAGCCAGGAUUACCUCAUGGUCCUGAGUCAUCUUCAGCUCUUCUGCCUCCAGGAGCAGAGCCAUGUCCAUCACCAAACAGCCUUGCUAAAGUAGAGCCUGAUUUGCUUAGAACAAAGACAAGGCAGAGAAAACGAACCUACGACAAAAAACAGAUCUAUUUGAGUCUAUCUGCAUGCCUCCCACUGAGGCUGACUGUGCUGGCUGCUUCUCCAGAUUCCCUCGGCAAAGCCCCUUCCCGCAUAGUCCUGUGCCCAGUAGCAGCUCAUGACAGCUGCCUGCUCCCUCCUGGGAACACCUUCUUAGCUGUUCGCUGAUCUCUGGAUUUUCAAGCUUCUAAACUGGCAAAACAAAGCCUGAAGCUUUUCACUUGAACCGAAUAUAGGAUGCUCAAAGGAAUCAGCUUUUCAGUGCCUGCUGGGAUGUUCUUGUCUGGAAAGUCACUGUGCAGACUGACAUGUUUUCUUCUUCCCACAGUCCUGCCUAAUUAGAGCAAUGCUGGCUAGCCAGGAAGCAUUCUCCUACCCUUCCAGAAGUCAAACAGAUUAGCUUGAUUUCCAAGGGUACAUUUACAUUGCAGAGAACAUGAUGCAGAGAUCCCUAGCACUGAGCUGAUUUGGCAAGUCCACACAGCACAGCAAAGUACUGUGCAGAUAUGCCAAGUGGGACUGAGAGGCAGAAUAAUCAUGUUCAGCUGGCACAGCACUCAGGGCUAUAUUGCUUCUGUUUCAGUGCUGGCUUGCAAGGAGCCUCUGCACUGUUUCCCAGUUCUUCAGGCUGUGGGAGUGAAUUGUGGCACACCAGCCUAGAUGUCUUCAUGCACACCCUAAGUUGCUGAUCAGAUUCAUAGAUUAUUACAUUGCAACUCCGCUCCAUCAUAACCUCUGUCUUUUAAUCAAUGAGCAAAUGUUCCUUAGUAUGAUCCAUUUCACCUUCAUUUUGUUAUAUUUCUGGUGUGAGACACUUUGAACCUCUGCUUUGAUGCAAUUAUUUUUUUAAACCUAUACUUAAGAAAGUCAUAUAAGCAUUCAGUUGCCUGCCCUUACCCUGAUCUCUAUCUUCCCUCCAAUGUGUCCCAAAGCCUUUGUGAAAAAUAGCUACAAAAAAUAUAUUUUCCUAAGAUAGAAUUAUGAUUUGAAACUGGAUAUAUGAUUAACAGCUUUGGCAUCAGGCUAUAUCAGUUACCCUAAAUUCAAGAAACCACUCCUUCUAGCAGGUCCUAGCAGUGCAAAGAACAGCCAGCAUGAGAAAAUUUGCCAUCUUGCAAAGUUUUUGUAGUACUGACUGUGUUCUUGAAAAGCAGCCAGCACUCCAUCCCAUCCACUUGUAAAUGUUCUGCAGUUAUUCUCUUAAUAACUCAAGGUUGAUGGAUGAGUGUAAGGUUGGGCAGCUUUGUUUGAUAGCCUAGGGGAGAGAGGGGGAGGGAAAGAAACAAGUAUCAGCAAAUAGAUUGUGCAACAGACAAAUAAAGAGGGUUACACAAUACACUCUAUAUUUUAAAUAAGCCUUCUGGAAUGCUGUCAUUGCCACCAAUUGAUGUUGUUUAGAAGAAUUCAUCAGUUAAUGCUGCUACAAUCCUACCAAUAAUUUCAUUUGAAGAGAGACUAAUCAUUGCCCCCUGCUAGUGUUUAAAGGAGUGUCAACAAUGUCGAACAAUAUUUUCAACAAGUUGCAUUUUCUAAAGAGAAAGAUUCCCUUCUAAAGAGAGAUAUUCCCUUCUCCCUUCUCAGUUUGAGCAGAAUCUCAGGAGAACAGGAGAUUUCAAACAAGAGGUGGGAGACUUGAAAUUUUUCCGCAACUCAAAGUCACUUUACUUGAGAUUCAUACAAAGUUUUUGUUAGUUGUUCAGUUCAGUGAUUUUCAACCCGCUUAGAGACAUGGAACAAAAAGUUCCAUCUCCAAAAUUUUCACAUUAGGUAUGUGAGAAAUGCAAUCACUAUGCCAGUGACUUAAAUUUGGUAGAAACAGAGAUUGCCCCUCAACUUGGUGAAUACUGCCAUUGUCAAGAUUGUCAAAGUUCAUUUUAAACCUGUUAUGAAUUCUUCUAGCAAAUAUCAAUUAAUUACCUACCUCCUUCUUGAAGAAAAAGAUGUAAGUCCUUUCUUUUUCACCUCCUGCCACCUCUAAUCCAUUUCUGCUCCCAUUCUCCCUCCUUGCAGAUCCAUCUGCCUCCCCCUGUGAUCAAUAGUCAACAUAACAUAAAAGUAAUGAAAACA